RNAcentral lists this ribosomal RNA (306 nucleotides) under uncultured eukaryote. RNAcentral describes it as "partial 18S ribosomal RNA". It matches the Rfam family "Eukaryotic small subunit ribosomal RNA", at positions 1470 to 1796 of the family's 1831-position model. The record is from RNAcentral.
CCCUUAGAUGGCCUGGGCUGCACGCGGGCUAUAAUGGUAUAUUCAGCGUGAGUUGUUUACCGAAAGGUAGAUCAAAUCUUCAAAUUAUACCGUACUUGGGAUUGGACAUUGCAAUUGUUGUCCAUGAACGAGGAAUUCCUAGUAAGUGCAUGUCAUUAGCGUGCGCUGAUUACGUCCCUGCCCUUUGUACACACCGCCCGUCGCUCCUACCGAUUGGGUGCUGGGGUGAACAUUGUGGAGAUUUGAGCUUCGGCUUGGUCAAAGCAAUGUGAAUCUUGCCGCCUAGAGGAAGGAGAAGUCGUAACA